RNAcentral lists this ribosomal RNA (1428 nucleotides) under Triticum aestivum (bread wheat). Its description in RNAcentral is "partial small subunit ribosomal RNA". Lineage: Eukaryota; Viridiplantae; Streptophyta; Magnoliopsida; Poales; Poaceae. The record is from RNAcentral.
AUGGUGACCGUGGUGUCGUCGCGCACGGUGAGGCCGCCGCUGCGGCCGCGCCGCCGCAUCCCGCUCACCACCUGGGACGUCCCCAUGCUCUCCGCCAACUACAUCCAGAAGGGCCACCUCUUCCACAAGCCCACGGGCACGCUCCUCCCCACCGCCGCCCACGUCGUCGACCACCUCGCCGCCGCCCUCGCCGACGCGCUCGUCCACUACUACCCCGUCGCCGGCCGCUUCGUCACCGACCAGCACUACGGCGACGGUGAACAGGGCGACGUUGUCGUGGGAUGCUCCGUCUCCAUCGACUGCGACGGGCAGGGCGUCCAGGUUGUCCACGCCGUCGCCGAUGACGGCGUCACCAUGGCGGACGUGGUUCCUCCCGACGUGGACGUGCCGCCCGUGCUUCAGUCAUUCUUCCUGCUCGAUGGCGCUAUCAACUACGACGGCCGCAACCACCCGCUCCUCGCCGUGCAGGUCACCGACCUCGCCGACGGCGUCUUCGUUGGCUUCUCCUACAACCACGCGCUCUCCGACGGCACCGCCUUCUGGGGCUUCAUCAACGCCUGGGCCGAGAUCGCGCGCGCCAGGCUCCUCGGUUCCCCGCGGGAGCAGCCCUUACGCCGGCCCUUGCUCGACCGCUGGUCACCCGAUGGAGGCGCCGCGGCGCCGGUCGUGCUGCCGUGCACGGAACUGUCCGACCUCAUCGAGCGCACCCCACAGACGCUGCUGCGCGAGCGGAUGCUCCACUUCUCGUCGGAGUCGCUGGCGGCGCUCAAGGAGCGGGCACGCCAGGAGCUCUUGGCCACCGGCGACGCGCAGGGUGCCGCCGCCCUGACCAGGUUUCAGGCGCUGACCUCGCUCCUAUGGCGUUGCAUCACCCGCGCACGGCGGCUGUCGCCGGAAAAGGAGACCACGUGCCGCGUGGCCAUCAACAACCGCGGGCGGCUCCGGCCACAGCUGCCGGCGGAGUACUUCGGCAACGCCAUCAGCACCAUCAGCACGGAGGCGGUGCGCGCACCGGAGCUGCUGGAGCGCGGGCACGGGUGGGCAGCGGCGGCCGUCGGGCGCGCGGUGGCGGCGCACACAGACGCGGUCAUCAGGGAGCGGGUGGCGGCCUUGACGGCGAAACCGCCGGAGAGAGACCCGCCGGCGUACAUGAUGAGCUGGCACGAUCCAUGCGGGACGCUGAUGGGGAGCUCGCCGCGGUUCGAUAUGUUCGGGUGUGACUUCGGGUUGGGGAAGCCGGUGGCGGCGCGGAGCGGCAAGGCGAACAAGGUCGACGGGGGCACGUCGUUGUACCCAUGUCCUGAUGGGGGAGGCAGCAUGGACGCGGAGCUCACGCUCACGCCGGAGCACAUGGCCGUGCUCGAGGAGGACGAGGAGUUCUGGGCCGCCGUCUCGCCGGACGCGCCGGCACAGGUGGGGAAUGUUUGA